GGCUUUCUUGAACUGUGAACUCGCGGGGAUGGGGAUUCCCUGGAUUGUGGCGCUCCUGCCUUCUCUUCGGCCGUCUCCGCCUGUUGAUGGUUCAAGAAAGCCC
RNAcentral lists this microRNA precursor (103 nucleotides) under Triticum aestivum (bread wheat). Its description in RNAcentral is "miR396 stem-loop (tae-MIR396)". Its record names the gene tae-MIR396. The record is from miRBase by way of RNAcentral. Lineage: Eukaryota; Viridiplantae; Streptophyta; Magnoliopsida; Poales; Poaceae.